This 1566-nucleotide long non-coding RNA is filed under the name Pogona vitticeps (central bearded dragon). RNAcentral's name for it is "lncRNA (ENSPVIG00000022990.1)". Lineage: Eukaryota; Metazoa; Chordata; Lepidosauria; Squamata; Agamidae. The record is from RNAcentral.
GUUUCACCUCAUGAGCAGGGUUCAAGCACUCUUGACUUUUUGAUAAGUAGAGAUCACUAUCUCGUCUUCCAGUCCAUUCCCCUCCCCAGCCUUCUCCAUCCCCCUCAGAAUUUAGCUUAGUUCAUCACAGUGAGUGGGUGAUGGAGGUGAAAUAUUUUUAGCAAAUAUAUCUUGUGAUAAACUAUCCCAGUUGUAAUGCAGAGUAUUUUGGAGCAGCUUGGUCUUGAGGGCAAUAUGCUUUUUUAAAAGUCCUGUUUUUGGUGGAGAUGAAAGCUGCCAAAAUUGACUUGUUGAUAUGGAUCAACAUCUGUGUUGUGGAUGUGGGAACUCUGCCAUUACACUAGGGGUGGUCAAAGUGUCCAGACGUUUGUUGCAUUGCAACCCCUAGUGUUCCUCAUCCCUGGUUAUGCUAGUUGGGGCUGAUGGGAGGUGCAGUCCAACAAUACCCAGGGGGCUGCUUUUUGCUCACUUCUAAGCUACAUGGCUGCUCAUGAAUUGACACACAAUUCAUGUGUGUACAGGGCAAUGUUGAAAGCUGCAGGAUGCAGAGUAAACAUUGUGCUCUUGGUGAGAUUGGGUCAUUUCCUUCUAUGUAGAACGGGUCUGCCCCCCCCCCCCCCGUGUUGCUUAAAAGAUUUGGGUAGUUUGGAAAGGGGGGAAGAGAAGGCAGAAAGGACUUUUUUUUAAACAGAAGCAGCAGACAAGCUGAGUGAAGUCAUGGUGGAAGCCCAAGCUCUCUCACAUAAUUGAGGCAAUAAUUUAGGGGCAACAUCUGAAGAAGGUCUAAAGAGGAUUAGGGGGAAAGAUGGAGACAGCACCUCUGUUGCAGAAAUUUCUCAGGGUUCAGCCCAGAGCUUUUGGGGCAGUACUGGUGGUCCUUGGAUUGGUUCAGUCAGCCUUGGGAGGCCUCUUUCUCGUCUUCCACUGUUCCUACACAGACUACCUUGGCAUUCAUUUCUUCUCAGGGAUCUCGCUGUUCCUAGCUGGAAUCGUUGCUAUUAUAGUUGACCAAGUCCCCCGCAUUGGCUUGGUGAAAACUUGUCUCAUCUUCCACAUUGCGGCAGCUGCAGUUGCUGUUGUGAUCAAUUAUCUCUAUUUCUACUGCAGAGCACUGAGAGGAAUUGCUUUUGCCACUGGAGCAGUGGGCGUCUGCCUCACCGUUUGUCUCGCAGCCUUUAUCUGUCGAACCAUCUGUUACCACAGCUCUGAUGACACUGCGGUAAGAAGACCCAGAAGAGGCAAACAGGAAAAGAAGGAUGGGGGAAGAACCUAGCUGGGAUUAGGUGGAGAUGUGAUGUGAAACAAAAUUAUAAAACCAGUAAACGGCCUUAAUGUGCAACUAGAUGGAGGAACUUGGAGCAAUCCAGGUUGCAUUUAAAAGGCUCUUACUGUCAAGGCAAUCUAUUUUAUCUCACACUUGAAUGAUCCCUCCAUCCACACAGGAGAUGUUUCUUCUCCCUUUUCUCUGAACAUAACACUGCCCACAGCUCUAUUUGUGGGCACAUCAAGCAACCAUGCAAACUGCGGAACAGGAUCCAAAUAAACUGCAGCCCUAAUGCUAUGCCA